GCCAGGCGCUGUGGUGCAUGCCUGUAAUCCCAGCAGCUCAGGAGGCUGAGGCAGGAGGAUUGAGAGUUCAAAGCCAGCCUCAGCAAAAUCGAGGACCUAAGCAACUCAGUGAGCCCCUGUCUCUA
Molecule: small RNA, 125 nt
Filed under: Marmota monax (woodchuck)
Lineage: Eukaryota; Metazoa; Chordata; Mammalia; Rodentia; Sciuridae
Source: RNAcentral